RNAcentral lists this ribosomal RNA (251 nucleotides) under uncultured bacterium. Its description in RNAcentral is "partial 16S ribosomal RNA". It matches the Rfam family "Bacterial small subunit ribosomal RNA", at positions 526 to 776 of the family's 1533-position model. The record is from RNAcentral.
CGUAGGGUGCGAGCGUUAAUCGGAAUUACUGGGCGUAAAGGGUGCGCAGGCGGCAACGCAAGUCGAGUGUGAAAGCCCCGGGCUUAACUUGGGAAUUGCGCUCGAAACUACUUUGCUGGAGUGUGGCAGAGGAAGGUGGAAUUCCACGUGUAGCGGUGAAAUGCGUAGAGAUGUGGAGGAACACCAAUGGCGAAGGCAGCCUUCUGGGCCAACACUGACGCUCAUGCACGAAAGCGUGGGGAGCAAACAGG